CCUACGGGGGGCAGCAGUGGGGAAUAUUGCACAAUGGGCGAAAGCCUGAUGCAGCGACGCCGCGUGAGCGAAGAAGGCCUUCGGGGCGUAAAGCUCUGUCUUAUGGGAAGAAAGAUGACGGUACCAUAGGAGGAAGCCCCGGCUAACUAAGGUCCAGCAGCCGCGGUAAUAGGUAGGGGGCGAGCGUUGUCCGGAAUGACUGGGCGUAAAGGGUACGUAGGCGGCUAGAUAAGUCAGAUGUGAAAGGCAUAGGCUUAACCUGUGGACGCAUUUGAAACUGGCUAGCUUGAGGCAAGGAGAGGAGAGUGGAAUUCCUGGUGUAGCGGUGAAAUGCGUAGAUAUCUGGAGGAAUACCAGUGGCGAGGGCGACUUUCUGGAUUUAGACUGACGCUGAGGUACGAAAGCGUGGGGAGCAAACAGGAUUAGAUACCCUUGUAGUC
Molecule: ribosomal RNA, 440 nt
Filed under: uncultured bacterium
Lineage: Bacteria
Description: bacterial SSU rRNA
Rfam family: Bacterial small subunit ribosomal RNA
Source: RNAcentral